Molecule: ribosomal RNA, 508 nt
Filed under: uncultured bacterium
Lineage: Bacteria
Description: partial 16S ribosomal RNA
Rfam family: Bacterial small subunit ribosomal RNA
Source: RNAcentral
AUUGAACGCUGGCGGCAUGCCUUACACAUGCAAGUCGAACGGCAGCGGGGGAGAAGCUUGCUUUUCCUGCCGGCGAGUGGCGAACGGGUGAGUAAUACAUCGGAGCGUGCCCUGUAGUGGGGGAUAACUAGUCGAAAGAUUAGCUAAUACCGCAUACGACCUGAGGGUGAAAGUGGGGGACCGCAAGGCCUCAUGCUAUAGGAGCGGCCGAUGUCUGAUUGGCUAGUUGGGGGGGUAAAGGCCUACCAAGGCGACGAUCAGUAGCUGGUCUGAAAGGACGGUUAGCCACACGGGGAAUGAGACACGGCCCAGACUCCUACAGGAGGCAGCAGUGGGGAAUUUUGGACAAUGGGCGAGAGCCUGAUCCAGCAAUGCCGCGUGUGUGAAGAAGGCCUUCGGGUUGUAAAGCACUUUUGUCCGGAAAGAAAUGGCUCUGGUUAAUACCUGGGGUCGAUGACGGUACCGGAAGAAUAAGGACCGGCUAACUACGUGCCAGCCGCCGCCGUAA